Non-coding RNA from Paramuricea clavata, 350 nucleotides. Lineage: Eukaryota; Metazoa; Cnidaria; Anthozoa; Malacalcyonacea; Plexauridae. The record is from the annotation of a GenBank genome assembly.
UUACCUAAGAAAUCAUUAACAACCCAAUUUGUUGUAAACAACGAUACAAUGGCAAACAAGUUUGCAAAGCCACACAUUAAUCCUCCUGCUACCGCGAACUUAUUUGCACGAUAAGGCAUGAUUUAAAUCUCAAACUGUGAUAAUACACGAUGCUGAACUCAGCUUAGCAACGGCAGAAAACAACACGUUUCGAUGUAUAUUCUGUCAUUCUGUGUCACCCAGCUUCUUUGCAACACUAAACACGAUAUAAACAAGAAGUUUUACCAAUGAAACAUUGUUAAAUUUCUUUGAAACUGAUAAAGUUUAUGAACAAAUUGCGCCUCAAAUAUUUACAGUAAUAUUCGUCGUGU